RNAcentral lists this long non-coding RNA (534 nucleotides) under Rattus norvegicus (Norway rat). RNAcentral describes it as "long non-coding RNA NONRATT019212". Lineage: Eukaryota; Metazoa; Chordata; Mammalia; Rodentia; Muridae. The record is from RNAcentral.
UGAUGAUAAGACGGCUCAAGUGGAGGAUUUCCUACAGUUCCUGUAUGGUGCGAUGGCGCAGGAUGUCAUAUGGCAGAAUGCCAGCGAGGAGCAGCUGCAGGAUGCCCAGCUGGCCAUCGAGCGGAGCGUGAUGAAUCGGAUCUUCAAGCUUGCUUUCUACCCUAACCAGGAUGGGGACAUACUGCGUGACCAGUGAGUACUUCUGUCUGCUGGACUACAAAGCCAUCUUGGAUGCCUUUGGUGCAGUAGCAAAGAGAACGUACCCAUUAGCGUUUGCACUCACAGAGUUAAGCCCUCAGAAUGGAUGCUGAGGUGACCGUGAGGGGUACACACAGUGGGAGAGGCUGGUGUGAGUGGGCAGCCUUUCUGCAAGGCUCUGCUGUGCGCCUGCCUCACAUGCCUUCGAUGUCUUCUCUGGGGUGAGUCCUUGACAACUGUCUUUCCUAGGCAGCCAUUGCCUUUUUAGCUCACAGUGCUCGGGUUACCCACUUGUUCCAUGGCUGCCAUUUGCCAUUGUUCAAGUCAUGACCUCUU